RNAcentral lists this ribosomal RNA (253 nucleotides) under uncultured Alkanibacter sp. Its description in RNAcentral is "partial 16S ribosomal RNA". It matches the Rfam family "Bacterial small subunit ribosomal RNA", at positions 524 to 776 of the family's 1533-position model. The record is from RNAcentral. Lineage: Bacteria; Pseudomonadati; Pseudomonadota; Gammaproteobacteria; Nevskiales; Nevskiaceae.
UACAGAGGGUGCGAGCGUUAAUCGGAUUUACUGGGCGUAAAGCGUGCGUAGGUGGUUACGAAAGUCGGGUGUGAAAGCCCUGGGCUCAACCUGGGAAUGCCAUUCGAUACUUCGUGACUAGAGUUCGGUAGAGGGCGGCGGAACUCCAGGUGUAGCGGUGAAAUGCGUAGAUAUCUGGAAGAACACCGAUGGCGAAGGCAACCGCCUGGGCCUGAACUGACACUGAGGCACGAAAGCGUGGGGAGCAAACAGG